GUAGGGGGCGAGCGUUGUCCGGAAUUAUUGGGCGUAAAGAGCGUGUAGGCGGUUCGGUAAGUCUGCCGUGAAAACCUGGGGCUCAACCCCGGGCGUGCGGUGGAUACUGCCGGGCUAGAGGGUGGUAGAGGCGAGUGGAAUUCCCGGUGUAGCGGUGAAAUGCGCAGAUAUCGGGAGGAACACCAGUAGCGAAGGCGGCUCGCUGGGCCAUUCCUGACGCUGAGACGCGAAAGCUAGGGGAGCGAACAGGAUUAGAUACCCUGGUAGUCCUAGCCGUAAACGAUGAACACUAGGUGUGGGGGGAGUCGAAUCCCUCUGUGCCGCAGCCAACGCGUUAAGUGUUCCGCCUGGGGAGUACGGCCGCAAGGCUAAA
Molecule: ribosomal RNA, 373 nt
Filed under: uncultured bacterium
Lineage: Bacteria
Description: bacterial SSU rRNA
Rfam family: Bacterial small subunit ribosomal RNA
Source: RNAcentral